Peromyscus maniculatus bairdii (prairie deer mouse) is the source of this 452-nucleotide non-coding RNA. The record is from the annotation of a RefSeq genome assembly. Lineage: Eukaryota; Metazoa; Chordata; Mammalia; Rodentia; Cricetidae.
UCCUAAGUUCAUUCUUCAAAAUGAUGUGCCCUGUCCAGUCCCUGUUUCUGUUUAUGCUCUGGAUUCUGGGAACCAGUGGCGAUGAUGUUGUGCUGACCCAGACUCCACUCUCUUUGCCGGUUACCAUUGGACAAUCAGCCUCCAUCUCAUGCAGGUCAAGUCAGAGCCUCUUAUAUAGUGAUGGAAUCACCUAUUUGUAUUGGUUCCUACAGAGGCCAGGCCAGUCUCCAAAGCGCCUAAUCUAUUGGGUGUACAACCGGGGUACAGGGGUUCCAGACAGGUUCAGUGGCAGUGGGUCAGGGACAGAUUUCACACUCAAGAUCAGCAGAGUGGAGGCUGAGGAUGUAGGAGUUUAUUACUGCAUGCAAACUACACAUGCUCCUCCCACAGUGACACAGACCUUAACAAAAACCCCUUGCUUCAGGCAGCUCAGCUGCCAAUGUGCUGCUUGA